Folsomia candida is the source of this 1657-nucleotide long non-coding RNA. RefSeq lists it as uncharacterized. The record is from RefSeq and is a predicted model, not a curated record. NCBI's taxonomy places the organism in Eukaryota, Metazoa, Arthropoda, Collembola, Entomobryomorpha, Isotomidae. The transcript has 2 exons.
GGGUUGGUUGAUGUUUUGUUCUGAAAUGUUGAUCGCGAUUGUUCUCGCAUUCGUGAUCCUAUAAAAUUCGUAAGCUCGCACCCAUGAGCCAUUUCAUUUCAGUCAGAUCUGUCAUCAUGUCAUGUCAUUCUCAUGUCAUACACGCCUCCAGUCUGCCUUUUCAAACUGUUUCAGUUAUUAAUUAUUUGUGCGAUUGAAAUUUCAUGAAGCGGAAAUCGUGUGUGACAUUUCUGCAUGUCUUGAAACGGCGUGUCACACUCGGAGCUCCCUUUUACGACUUGCAAUGCAACAACUGAUGGGUAUUCCGCUGUAAAUAAUGCAAUUGGAAAAUCAUAACAGACGAACUAGAUACAGCUCCAGUCAAGUUGAAUAUUCGAAUAAACGUUAUGAUUUAUCAAAUUGGUGGAAUAUAUACGCAUAACGGUGGCAUGCUUCAAAUUUUGUAGAGGAUAUGUAAAUUUUAUGAUGUAAUUAUUCACUAAAGAACUUAUGAAGACAACAAUUUAACUGAUAUCUGAUAUCCAACUGAUAUCCAUUAACACUCGAAUAAAGGUUGACUUGACUUGAAUUUAAGAUACGAAGCGUGGAAUAUGUAAUAAACAAAACUAACGAUAUCCAUGAAUUCAACCUUCAACUACGCAUUGCAAUUUGUAAAAUUUGUAAAGUAAUUUUUAAGGCGCAAGUGGCUUCCAACUACAUAAAACAAAUCUCAUAAUUUUGUAAGAGGCACAGUAUCGCCCUGAAAGCGUAGCCUCAGCAGACAUCUCUCGCCGCCGAGUCGUAACUUUUGGAGCAACAUUCACACUCGGCUUUGUCUUCAAGAAUGCUACGUACAUAUAAUACGAUAAUUCAUAAAAUAUUAACUAAAUUCUUCGGAAAAUAUCAUGUCAGAACUCAAAGAUGCGUUUAAGAUAUAGUGACGCCAUGCAAUUUCUUAAUUCUUAUAUAUGUAAAUAUACGCCACUACUAGUACAGAUAAUUAGCCUUUUCACAGCUUAAAGAAUUAUUCUCAUAGUACAGAUUUCAUUUUGUUUGCAGAAGUGUGAACAUGGGUGUCAUUUAAUGGACCAGAGUUUUAAUUGAAAUCACAUAACUAAAUAUAUUGAAAUUCCAUAACUUGAAUUUCGAGUACUUUAAAUACGUUCGAACCAUCCCUAUAACUGAAUCCGUCAGACACGUAUUUUCAUAACUUUUAAAUUCAUUUAUUUAAUCGAAUUAAAGCACUGUAAAUUCAAGUUAUGCGAUUUCAAUAUAUUUAGUUAUGUGAUUUCAAUUAAAAGUCUGGUGGAUUAAAAAUAACCCUGUGAACAUGUCCAAAAUUUACCAACUAAAUAAUUUGGUGGAACAAAUAGUAAAACAUUUUGUAAAUUCUGUUACUUUGAAUGGUUGUGAAUGUACAGUAUAUACAUAUAUUUGUAACUUUGCAAUAAAAUACAGUGUCCAACUGGAUAACAAAUUAUUCUUUUUAUUUGCAUAUAAGAUAUCAACGUCACUCAUUGAACAUGAACACUAUAACAACUUUGUGACAAUAUUAUAACACGGAGAAUUUUAUAAAGCUAGUAAUAAAUACUUUCAUGCAUUGCAGAUAAAUCUGACAUAUUUACCAUAUUCACCGCUUGUGACAAGCUUAUAGUAUGUAAUGGGUGCAUUACGAAUA